This 424-nucleotide ribosomal RNA is filed under the name Verrucomicrobiota bacterium. RNAcentral's name for it is "Verrucomicrobia bacterium partial 16S ribosomal RNA". It matches the Rfam family "Bacterial small subunit ribosomal RNA", at positions 355 to 776 of the family's 1533-position model. The record is from RNAcentral. Lineage: Bacteria; Pseudomonadati; Verrucomicrobiota.
UGAGGAAUAUUGGUCAAUGGGCGUGAGCCUGAACCAGCCAAGUAGCGUGCAGGAAGACGGCCCUAUGGGUUAUAAACUGCUUUUAUGCGGGGAUAAAGGAGUCCACGUGUGGAUUUUUGCAGGUACCGCAUGAAUAAGGACCGGCUAAUUCCGUGCCAGCAGCCGCGGUAAUACGGAAGGUCCGGGCGUUAUCCGGAUUUAUUGGGUUUAAAGGGAGCGUAGGCCGCGUUUUAAGCGUGUUGUGAAAUGUAGACGCCCAACGUCUGCAUCGCAGCGCGAACUGGGACGCUUGAGUACGCGCAACGUUGGCGGAAUUCGUCGUGUAGCGGUGAAAUGCUUAGAUAUGACGAGGAACUCCGAUUGCGAAGGCAGCUGACGGGAGCGGCACUGACGCUUAAGCUCGAAGGUGCGGGUAUCAAACAGG